RNAcentral lists this ribosomal RNA (429 nucleotides) under Acidobacteriota bacterium. RNAcentral describes it as "Acidobacteria bacterium partial 16S ribosomal RNA". It matches the Rfam family "Bacterial small subunit ribosomal RNA", at positions 355 to 776 of the family's 1533-position model. Lineage: Bacteria; Pseudomonadati; Acidobacteriota. The record is from RNAcentral.
UGGGGAAUUUAUGACAAUGGGGGAAACCCUGAUCCAGCCAUCCCGCGUGUGCGAUGAAGGCCUUCGGGUUGUAAAGCACUUUUGGCAGGAAAGAAACGUCAUGGGUUAAUACCCCGUGAAACUGACGGUACCUGCAGAAUAAGCACCGGCUAACUACGUGCCAGCAGCCGCGGUAAUACGUAGGGUGCAAGCGUUAAUCGGAAUUACUGGGCGUAAAGCGUGCGCAGGCGGUUCGGAAAGAAAGAUGUGAAAUCCCAGAGCUCAACUUUGGAACUGCAUUUUUAACUACCGGGCUAGAGUGUGUCAGAGGGAGGUGGAAUUCCGCGUGUAGCAGUGGAAUGCGUAGAUAUGCGGAGGAACACCGAUGGCGAAGGCAGCCUCCUGGGAUAACACGGACGCUCAUGCACGAAAGCGUGGGGAGCAAACAGG